This 3097-nucleotide unclassified non-coding RNA is filed under the name Hevea brasiliensis (rubber tree). The record is from RNAcentral. Lineage: Eukaryota; Viridiplantae; Streptophyta; Magnoliopsida; Malpighiales; Euphorbiaceae.
GAAAAAUUGAAUAUUCGAGUGGAAACUUCAAAUAAGAGGGAGGACUACUAAUAUUGUUAAUCCAACAUUCACAACAACUAAACCUCAAUAACAAAUUAGUUUAGAUUCAACUACAUGAAUCUUUUUUUUUCUGUCAUUCAAUUUUAUUAGAUACAAAGUCUGCAUCAAUAUUAAAAACUCAUAACCUUCAAAUACUAUUUUCCUCCGCAUCAUUUCAGGCCUCCCAUACCCUUUCUCACUUACAUUCCCUAACUAAUUUAUCACCUCUUGGAUUUAUUUGCAUUUCCCUGGGUCUAUUUGCAUUUACAAAAUUUAUAAUCUGCUUCUCAUAGGAACCCAAUUUCUCCUUGAAACGUGGCGAAAUAUCAUGUUUUGAAACCUGUAAGAAUGCUAUUAUGCGCUCUAACAUGGUCUUGAACAUUUUUAUCUUCUCGAGAUCCACUGACUUGCGUUGUUGUUGAAGAGAAUCAUGCUGUUAAACAAAGAAUGAUACCCUUGUGAGCUUCAAUAAUUGCAUUAGAUCUUUGCAGCAAAAUUUUGCAAAUUUCUUCUGUUUUCUUGCUUAUUUGCAAGGAUUUUCUUCUUGUUCAUUGGAAGUGACCUUUUUUCGAGAGGGGAAUGAGAGAAAUGAGGUAAUAAGUGCAGAAGAUACACUGAUAGUCAACAUAAAGACAGGUAUUGCUAGAGUGAACCGCAUAUUAGCACAAGAUCACCAUUAUUACAAUAAAUGAACUGAAAAGUAGUAGUUUUCAAGUAAUGCAUAAGCAAUGAAUUGAGAACAAAAAAAUGUAGUGAGUUAAAUUACCUGCUGUAACUUUGUGGCAAGUUUCUGGUAAAUUACAUUUAGUUCGGGCAAGUACAUUUCCUUCAUGUCUUUGAUCUUUUGGUAGACUUCCUCUUGCCAAUCGCCUCCAUUUACAUGUCCAGUUUGUGCUGUCGAAUCAAGAGAUGCUACAAAAAUAAAACAUAUGCAUACACACAUUAUGUUGACUAAACCUUGCAUAUUUUGCAUAGACUCCACAAAGAAUCUUCAUAAAAAAAAAAGGAUUUACAGUUACAAGAACAACAAAAACAAAGAGAUCAAUUGGGACGCAUCCUGCAAGUUUAACUAAACAUGUACAGCAAUCAAAACCACUAGAAUGUAUAUGAUGAAACAUUGCUAAAAGGAAACUUUUUAAUAAAUCAAUUUUAGUAUGCUCAACAUUAAUUACUCCCAAAACAAAAAGCAAUGUAAUAAACAACAUUUGUAACACUUGUAACAUAAAAACCAUAAUAAAGAAAAUCUGUAAUGCAACAUAAAAACAAUAAUAAAGCAAACAAUGUCCCUAAGUGCCACAAAUAAUCACUUGCUCGAAAAGGAACCUCAAUUACUUUAACCAAGAAGAUACCUCAAAGAUAUUUAUCAAGAGGCGAUGUGGUUGACAAAAGGGUGACUCUAUGGCGCUAUCAGUCAUAAUAAUGAAAUUAAUAAGAUAAUAACUGAAUGUGUAAUAAAUUUGUCAAAGUCAAACUAAAGGAGAAGACAAGGCAUGUAAAUUGCACAUCUAUUUCUAUUACCCAUGACACACUUAAAAGCCAGAACCAAAAGAAAAGGAAGGAGAAGUUUUACUUAUUAACAAGGCCAUUUAAUUAUUUACAAAAAGUUGUCCUUGCAUAAAAAAAACAUUUCAUAAGAGCCUGCAUCACCUUCCUUUUUGCUUUCAUAAGUACAAGCAGCAUGCAAUAAAUUAGUGAUGGCGAAAUGAUCAUGAUUUAAUAAACUUUUUAAUCUUUCUCUGUGCUACAAUAAGUUUAAUUUAAGGAACAAAACUCACAGUCCAAGACUUUAAAAGUCAUAUGUAUUGCAAAUGGUACAAUACAGUUGAGGACCUGACGGUUGUGAUCACAGAUGCUAUGGGUAAACCUUAACAACUGAAAAGAUUAAUAGCAGUUAUAAUGAUUUCAACAAGUACAGCAGUGUUAGCAGCGCAUAAAGAUAUGCCAAAGGGAUAGGCAUUACUUCAACCAUUCUUCCCAAAGUUCAUUUUACCAUCAACUCUGAACUCUGGAGAGACAGAAGUGUGAUACAAACAGGGAUAUGUACAAUAAAUAAACAUGAAAGUGCAAAAUAGAAAAAGCUCAAAACUUUGAACAUGACUAGGAGCUGUGGAGAUGUAAUUACAUACUUGAUGAUGUUUCUGGAAGAGGUCUUUGUGAUUGAUACAAUUGCUUUUGUUGAUCAAUUACAUUCUGUGGUUGAAGCAAGGAACCUGGUCCUUGACUUGAUGCUUGGAGCCUUGGCUGCAUAUCUAGUUGUAAUGGAUUAGACUGUUGUUGCAAACCCAGCUGUUGUUGUAACUGUGUUGGCUGUGAUUGAAUCUGUGACAUCAAUUGCUGCUGUGGAAGCUGUGAUUGUGACUGCUGGCCUUGAGUUGGCAACAAAUUAAUUGCAGUUUCCUGCUGCAAUGGAACCUUGGGCUGUUGCAGCAUGCAUACAGAGUGCUGAUUAGUUUGCAUGCUUGAGUUGUCAGGCUGGGUUCCAAGCAAAUGCUGCUGUUGCUGAUGCUGUUGCUGCUGCUGCAGAUUUUGAUCGUUAUUGUGUUGCCCCAGUAAUCUCCGCUGCUGCUGCUGCAUGUCUCCAAAAUUGUAUUGUUGCCCAAUUAACUGAUUUUGCUGCAUACUAUACAUAUAUACCCUUAGUUGGCUUAUCAAUGCUCACAGUUUUUUCAUUAACCGCCAUGGGCUGCUCAGCAUUUACUUCAGUUGCUCUGCUGAACCUGGAGUUCAUUGCUACAGACACUAGAGUUGGAUUGCACUGGAUUGGCCACAUUAUCCUGAGCACGGAAACGGAAACAUGGACAUAGGGAAAGGUGGAAACGGACACGGAGAAACGGCAUUUUCAAAAAUAUAGGAAACGGAAACAUGGGGAAACGCGUCAAUAUCAUGGUUUCAAAUCACGGUCGUGGUUGCGGUCACGGUCACAGUCACGGGUAACGGAAACAGUCCUAUAACAGCUGUAACGUAACGGUAACGGCUUGGCGCAACACAAAUUUUUUGAAAAAUUCACAAAGUUCAUAAAAUGACUGUAUAUUGGUAGAUAUAAGUAAAACUAAGAUAC